Molecule: ribosomal RNA, 156 nt
Filed under: Meloidogyne hapla
Lineage: Eukaryota; Metazoa; Nematoda; Chromadorea; Rhabditida; Meloidogynidae
Description: 5.8S ribosomal RNA
Rfam family: 5.8S ribosomal RNA
About the family: 5.8S ribosomal RNA (5.8S rRNA) is a component of the large subunit of the eukaryotic ribosome. It is transcribed by RNA polymerase I as part of the 45S precursor that also contains 18S and 28S rRNA.
Source: RNAcentral
UAGCCUUACCGGUGGAUCACUCGGCUCGUGGACGAUGAAGAACGCAGCAAACUGCGAUAUUUGUGCGAACUGCAGAAACCUUGAGCAUAAAACUUUUGAACGCAUAUUGCGGCAUUGGGGUCAAACCCUUUGCUACGUCUGGUUCAGGGUCAUUUU